AUAAAAGGAAGAAUAAAUAAGAAGACCGAAUAGAGGUGAUGGUUUCCCUCGGAUGGCAAUCCAGAUGGAAGGCAUGGAAACUGCAGACAUAUCAACAUGGCAUCAGUUCAGACCGCCCGUCUGCUUGU
This 128-nucleotide small nucleolar RNA is filed under the name Oryza sativa Indica Group (long-grained rice). Its description in RNAcentral is "Small nucleolar RNA SNORD43". The record is from RNAcentral. Lineage: Eukaryota; Viridiplantae; Streptophyta; Magnoliopsida; Poales; Poaceae.